GAAGAAGCAAAAUGAUGACAAACACUUGCUUGAGCCAAAGUGAGUGAGCUGUCUGUGUGUGUGUGCAGUUGUGUGGUGAUUGUUUGAGAGAGCUGUGUGCUUUAUAAUUGGGCAGUGAUAGCUAAACUGAUAAGAUCUGAUUGCUUC
RNAcentral lists this small nucleolar RNA (147 nucleotides) under Zosterops borbonicus. RNAcentral describes it as "Small nucleolar RNA ZL1". It matches the Rfam family "Small nucleolar RNA ZL1". From Rfam's summary of the family: Host gene TRRAP. Predicted target U2@U47. Only GU-rich region is homologous to other known snoRNAs. The record is from Rfam by way of RNAcentral. Lineage: Eukaryota; Metazoa; Chordata; Aves; Passeriformes; Zosteropidae. RNAcentral also lists the same sequence under 2 other names.